GGCAACCCGCUCCUGUUGCCUUCCACGCCAUGGAAGGUUUGUUCUUUCGCUCUUUGCAAUAAGUUCUGUUGCUGCUCACUCUUUGGAUCCACCAUGCGUUUAUGAGCUGUAACACUCAUUGCGAAGGUCUGCAGCUUCAGUCCUGAAGCAGCGAGACCACGAACCCACCGGGAGGAACGAACAACUCCAGAUGCGCCGCCUUAAGAGCUGUAAGACUCACCGCGAAGGUCCGCAGCUUCACUCCUGAGCCAGCGAGACCACGAACCCCACCAGAAGGAAGAAACUCCGCACACAUCGGAACAUCAGAAGGAACAAACUCCGGACACACUGCCUUUAAGAACUGUAACACUGCGAGGGUCCGCGGCUUCAUUCUUGAAGUGAGUGAGACCAAGAACCUACCAAUUCUGGACACAAUAUCACAUGAGCUCCAAUGUGGUAUCGAGAUGAAGGGGAAAAGGGAAAUGGGGAAAUUUUUUGCUGGGGGUGUUCCCAGAUGAAUUCUUUGCUUUAUGUGCUUAGAACUCCUUGCUUUUGUAGGUGGACGUGUGGUAAAAUGUGUUAUAUUUGCAGCCAUUGUACAGCUAUGCCAUUGUGGAGAAUCUUAGGCUUCUUGUGGGGAAAGUAUCUGGGAGCUUGUGUGUUGGUCACAUUUCUAUCAUGUCAUGUCUGAGAUGCCUCCCUGGAAGUGAAGACAGCCGUAUCAGAAGUACUGAUCCAGCACUGGAUGGGAAUCUCACACACACAUGCACACACACACGCACACCCCGCAUACCUGCUAGGGGCUGACAGCAUAUGCUUUGAUGUGCAUUGGCACGGAUGAGUCAAUACGCUUGUUGAAACCAGAGAGAAAAAUAUGUCAUGUUUUUCCCAAACGGUGUUAAGAAAGUACAAAUAAAAAGAAAAGCAUUCAAACUGAC
RNAcentral lists this long non-coding RNA (917 nucleotides) under Homo sapiens (human). RNAcentral describes it as "HSALNT0377154". Lineage: Eukaryota; Metazoa; Chordata; Mammalia; Primates; Hominidae. The record is from RNAcentral.